Molecule: ribosomal RNA, 501 nt
Filed under: uncultured bacterium
Lineage: Bacteria
Description: bacterial SSU rRNA
Rfam family: Bacterial small subunit ribosomal RNA
Source: RNAcentral
CUUAGGAUGAACGCUAGCGACAGGCCUAACACAUGCAAGUCGAGGGGCAGCACAAGGAGCAAUCUGAGGUGGCGACCGGCGCACGGGUGAGUAACACGUAUGCAACCUGCCUGUAAGCGGGGAAUAACCCGUUGAAAGACGGACUAAUACCGCAUAAUACUAAAUUACUGCAUGGUAAUUUAUUUAAACAUUUAUGGCUUACAGAUGGGCAUGCGCAUGAUUAGCUAGUUGGAGAGGUAACGGCUCCCCAAGGCAACGAUCAUUAGGGGUUCUGAGAGGAAGGUCCCCACACUGGUACUGAGACACGGACCAGACUCCUACGGGAGGCAGCAGUGAGGAAUAUUGGUCAAUGGACGAGAGUCUGAACCAGCCAAGUCGCGUGCAGGAAGAAUGUCCUAACCGGAUUGUAAACUGCUUUUGCAGGGGAAUAAAGUGCAUCACGUGUGAUGUUUUGUAUGUACUCUGCGAAUAAGGAUCGGCUAACUCCGUGCCAGCAGCAGC